GUUCCAUUUUACCACUGUGAUUACGCGGUGUAUCCACCGUGUAUACACAGUGGUCAAGCCACCGAGGAAUCAUGGUAGAUCCACGGUGUUUACACUUCCACGGUGUUUCCACCGUGAUUCAAAUCUGCGAGGGAAUAAUUACAUGGAUUCUCUGAAAAAAUCAAUUAAUAAAACAAUAAAAUUUACUCUUGAUUUUAUUGAAUCAAAAUUUUCUGCUCACAUUUAUGAACAGCGAGCUCUGUUACUUAAAUCGUUAAAUUUCUAUACGUUAUUUAUUGAAAAAGAAACUAGUAUUUGUACUUAUAAAAUUAAUGUAUGUGAAGAUGCUGCUAUCACAUGGAAAAUAUGUUUAAAUAAUGAACCUAGUGUCUAUAAUACAUAUUUUUGUAAUUCUUGUGACCAGUGUACAUUUAUGACUUCAGUACUAAAAGUUGACCCUAAAAUCAUUAUUAAUCAUGGGUUUAAAGCGUUAAACAGAGCUGUGGUUUUUUGUAAAACUCUAAAAAAAGUAAAAUGUCGCAAGGAGAACUGCUUUAAGUUAUGCACUGUCACUGCAUACCCUAAUUUUCACAUAUUUAUUGCACUGGAUGUUAUAGAUAAAAAUAAUAAAUGUAUAGAAUGUUGUUUAGAAGAUUUACCGAUAACGUUAAAUUUGGAUAUGGUAGAUAAAUACAGAUUAGCUGGAAUUAUUGGAAGUUAUCAUAAUUACAAAGUUGCCUACUGCUUAAGAUCAGAUAAUAAUUGGGAAUUAUAUGAUGGUUAUUCUCGUUCUAUUGAAGUAGUUGAUGAAUCAACCACAAUCCAACCUUUGGGUGCAAUAUAUAUUUUAGAAUAAAAAUACAGAUUAAUUCCAAUUAAAAUCAGUCGGAUCCCAAUCGGUUUUCAAUCGGAAUUCCAAACCAGGGAUUCUAUAGACUGUUCCAAUAAAAAUUUCCUAUAUUCCACUAUAUGUUAAUCAUUAAUUAUUUUUUGUCCAUGUCAUUGGAAACAACACUAAAAAAAUGUGAUAAAAAUACCUUUACUUUCACCAGAACCCAAGUAUCUUAAACAUAUUUCCUAAAGACUUCGUAUAAAUACUGGAUGUCAGUUUAGAUGAUUUUUCAAUUCAAAGGCUAACAUUAAAAUGUAAAUGAUUAAACAGUUCUAGAUAUAUGACUGACCUGAAAAAAAAAAUUAUUUUAUAAAAUUCCAUAAAAUUUUAUUGCAUCUAAUUUCUUGAAUUUUAAUCUAGUAUUAUAUAGAUGAUAAUUUUGCGGAAUUCCAUGAAGUUUUAUAAACUUGUAUAAAAUUCUGUAAAUUUUAUUCGUAUGUCGAUUUAAGCUAUCUAUUAUCAC
RNA transcript from Microplitis mediator, 1334 nucleotides. RefSeq lists it as uncharacterized. The transcript is spliced from 3 exons. Lineage: Eukaryota; Metazoa; Arthropoda; Insecta; Hymenoptera; Braconidae. The record is from RefSeq and is a predicted model, not a curated record.